GCGUCGGAAGUGAAAACUUGGGGCUUAAACCUUGAGCGUGCUUUCGAUACGGGUUGACUUGAGGAAGGUAGGGGAGAAUGGAAUUCCUGGUGGAGCGGUGGAAUGCGCAGAUAUCAGGAGGAACACCAGUGGCGAAGGCGGUUCUCUGGACCUUUCCUGACGCUGAGGAGCGAAAGCGUGGGGAGCGAACAGGCUUAGAUACCCUGGUAGUCCACGCUGUAAACGGUGGGUACUAGGUGUGGGGUCCAUUCCACGGAUUCCGUGCCGUAGCUAACGCAUUAAGUACCCCGCCUGGGGAGUACGGCCGCAAGGCUAAAACUCAAAGGAAUUGACGGGGCCCCGCACAAGCGGCGGAGCAUGCGGAUUAAUUCGAUGCAACGCGAAGAACCUUACCUGGGUUUGACAUGGACUGGGAGUGCUCAGAGAUGGGUAUGCCUCCUUGUGGGGCUGGUUCACAGGUGGUGCAUGGCUGUCGUCAGCUCGUGUCGUGAGAUGUUGGGUUAAGUCCCGCAACGAGCGCAACCCUCGUUCACUGUUGCCAGCACGUUAUGGUGGGGACUCAGUGGAGACCGCCGGGGUCAACUCGGAGGAAGGUGGGGAUGACGUCAAGUCAUCAUGCCCCUUAUGUCCAGGGCUUCACGCAUGCUACAAUGGCCGGUACAAAGAGUUGCGAGCCUGUGAGGGUGAGCGAAUCUCGGAAAGCCGGUCUCAGUUCGGAUUGGGGUCUGCAACUCGACCCCAUGAAGUCGGAGUCGCUAGUAAUCGCAGAUCAGCAACGCUGCGGUGAAUACGUUCCCGGGGCUUGUACACACCGCCCGUCAAGUCAUGAAAGUCGGUAACACCCGAAGCCGGUGGCCUAACCUGUGUGG
Molecule: ribosomal RNA, 869 nt
Filed under: Streptococcus intermedius
Lineage: Bacteria; Bacillati; Bacillota; Bacilli; Lactobacillales; Streptococcaceae
Also listed under: 1 other name
Description: bacterial SSU rRNA
Rfam family: Bacterial small subunit ribosomal RNA
Source: RNAcentral